GCAAGGUUAACCGUAUAGGGGAGCCGUAGGGAAACCGAGUCUUAACCGGGCGUUAAGUUGCAGGGUAUAGACCCGAAACCCGGUGAUCUAGCCAUGGGCAGGUUGAAGGUUGGGUAACACUAACUGGAGGACCGAACCGACUAAUGUUGAAAAAUUAGCGGAUGACCUGUGGCUGGGGGUGAAAGGCCAAUCAAACCGGGAGAUAGCUGGUUCUCCCCGAAAGCUAUUUAGGUAGCGCCUCGUGAAUUCAUCUCCGGGGGUAGAGCACUGUUUCGGCUAGGGGGCCAUCCCGGCUUACCAACCCGAUGCAAACUGCGAAUACCGGAGAAUGUUAUCACGGGAGACACACGGCGGGUGCUAACGUCCGUCGUGAAGAGGGAAACAACCCAGACCGCCAGCUAAGGUCCCAAAGUCAUGGUUAAGUGGGAAACGAUGUGGGAAGGCCCAGACAGCCAGGAUGUUGGCUUAGAAGCAGCCAUCAUUUAAAGAAAGCGUAAUAGCUCACUGGUCGAGUCGGCCUGCGCGGAAGAUGUAACGGGGCUAAACCAU
RNAcentral lists this ribosomal RNA (549 nucleotides) under Salmonella enterica. RNAcentral's name for it is "partial 23S ribosomal RNA". It matches the Rfam family "Bacterial large subunit ribosomal RNA", at positions 640 to 1190 of the family's 2925-position model. RNAcentral also lists the same sequence under 2 other names. Lineage: Bacteria; Pseudomonadati; Pseudomonadota; Gammaproteobacteria; Enterobacterales; Enterobacteriaceae. The record is from RNAcentral.